GAUGAACGCUGGCGGCGUGCCUAACACAUGCAAGUCGAGCGAAGCACUUACUUUAGCUUUCUUCGGAAUGACGAAGUUUGUGACUGAGCGGCGGACGGGUGAGUAACGCGUGGGCAACCUGCCCUGUACAGGGGGAUAACAGUUAGAAAUGACUGCUAAUACCGCAUAAGCCCACAGCUUCGCAUGAAGCAGUGGGAAAAACUCCGGUGGUACAGGAUGGGCCCGCGUCUGAUUAGCUAGUUGGUAAGGUAACGGCUUACCAAGGCGACGAUCAGUAGCCGACCUGAGAGGGUGACCGGCCACAUUGGGACUGAGACACGGCCCAAACUCCUACGGGAGGCAGCAGUGGGGAAUAUUGCACAAUGGGGGAAACCCUGAUGCAGCGACGCCGCGUGAGCGAUGAAGUAUUUCGGUAUGUAAAGCUCUAUCAGCAGGGAAGAAAGUGACGGUACCUGACGAGGAAGCCCCGGCUAACUACGUG
This 481-nucleotide ribosomal RNA is filed under the name uncultured bacterium. RNAcentral's name for it is "partial 16S ribosomal RNA". It matches the Rfam family "Bacterial small subunit ribosomal RNA", at positions 28 to 507 of the family's 1533-position model. The record is from RNAcentral.